GCUCAACCGAGGAAGUGCUUCGAAAACUGGUAAACUUGAGUGCAGAAGAGGAAAGUGGAACUCCAUGUGUAGCGGUGGAAUGCGUAGAUAUAUGGAAGAACACCAGUGGCGAAGGCGGCUUUCUGGUCUGUAACUGACGCUGAGAUUCGAAAGCAUGGGUAGCAAACAGGAUUAGAUACCCUGGUAGUCCAUGCCGUAAACGAUGAGUGCUAAGUGUUGGAGGGUUUCCGCCCUUCAGUGCUGCAGCUAACGCAUUAGGCACUCCGCCUGGGGAGUACGAUCGCAAGAUUGAAACUCAAAGGAAUUGACGGGGGCCCGCACAAGCGGUGGAGCAUGUGGUUUAAUUCGAAGCAACGCGAAGAACCUUACCAGGUCUUGACAUACCAUGAAAAGCUAAGAGAUUAGUCUUUCCCUUCGGGGACAUGGAUACAGGUGGUGCAUGGUUGUCGUCAGCUCGUGUCGUGAGAUGUUGGGUUAAGUCCCGCAACGAGCGCAACCCUUAUUAUCAGUUGCCAGCAUUCAGUUGGGCACUCUGGUGAGACUGCCGGUGACAAACUGGAGGAAGGUGGGGACGACGUCAAAUCAUCAUGCCCCUUAUGACCUGCGCUACACACGUGCUACAAUGGUCGGUACAACG
This 637-nucleotide ribosomal RNA is filed under the name uncultured bacterium. RNAcentral describes it as "bacterial SSU rRNA". It matches the Rfam family "Bacterial small subunit ribosomal RNA", at positions 607 to 1244 of the family's 1533-position model. The record is from RNAcentral.